Molecule: ribosomal RNA, 492 nt
Filed under: uncultured bacterium
Lineage: Bacteria
Description: partial 16S ribosomal RNA
Rfam family: Bacterial small subunit ribosomal RNA
Source: RNAcentral
AGUGAACGCUGGCGGUAGUCCUAACACAUGCAAGUCGAACGGCAGCACAGUAAGAGCUUGCUCUUACGGGUGGCGAGUGGCGGACGGGUGAGGAAUACAUCGGAAUCUACUUUUUCGUGGGGGAUAACGUAGGGAAACUUACGCUAAUACCGCAUACGACCUACGGGUGAAAGCAGGGGAUCUUCGGACCUUGCGCGAUUGAAUGAGCCGAUGUCGGAUUAGCUAGUUGGCGGGGUAAAGUCCCACCAAGGCGACGAUCCGUAGCUGGUCUGAGAGGAUGAUCAGCCACACUGGAACUGAGACACGGUCCAGACUCCUACGGGAGGCAGCAGUGGGGAAUAUUGGACAAUGGGCGCAAGCCUGAUCCAGCCAUACCGCGUGGGUGAAGAAGGCCUUCGGGUUGUAAAGCCCUUUUGUUGGGAAAGAAAAGCAGCAGGUUAAUACCCCGCUGUUCUGACGGUACCCAAAGAAUAAGCACCGGCUAACUUCGUG